UAUAAAACCCGGCGUGCCCGCCGCCCCCCGGCGCAGUCCGCGGCAGGGUUCCGGCCGUGCUGCGGUCCGCACGCUGCGCCCGCUCCCGCCUGCCUCCCGCCCUACCCCCCCGUCCCACCGCCCUGGAGCACCAUCCGGGGCCGUGGGCCGGGCACCGGGCGCGGCCCGCUCCGGACCUCGGCCGGGGGUCCCUCCCCUCCCCCGCUCGACCCCCCAUCCGACGGCCCGGCCGGGCUGGGACCCCCGCACCGGGGUCCCGGUUCCCGUCCGCGGCCCGGGGGCGCUCCUCCCCGGGCUCCGGCCCGGGAUCCCUCGCUGCUCCCGGCGACCUCCGCCGGCUUCCCGGUCCACCCGCCGCGGAACGGACGGGACCCGGGGUCCGCGCCCUUCCCCUCCCCCCCCACGGGGGGCUGGGUCGCGGACCCCGGUUCCUAGGCUCGUUCCGCGGUGGGCGAUCGGGGAUCCCCCACCCAGCUCCCCCUUCCCGGCUCACCCCGCUGGCUUUUGGGCCCCUCCGGGCUUUUUUUCCGGCUGGGGGUCGCGGCGGCCGGCCGACGACGGUAGGUGGGCCGGGCGGACGGUGGUGGGGACGGGCGACGCCCCGGCUCGACGGCAGUCGGCCCCGGAGGGUUGGGGGCUGGGGGCCCGGUCAGGAGCUCCGGGAGCGGGGUCGACCGCGACGGCUUCCGGGUCUCGCGGCGGCUCCCUCUCGGCGGCUCCGGUUGCGCUCCCUCCCCCCUCUCGAGGGUCUGGUCGCCGGUCGUGGUCGGGGGUCCCUCGGCCUAGCCGCCGGCUCUCGGUCCGCCUUACCCUGGGCGUUGGCCGGUCCCGUGACGUUCCCCUCCCCCGCUGCUCCCCAAAAACUCCGCCCGAACCGUCGCGGUUUGCUGGCCCUGGACGUGGUCCCCCCACUCCCCUCCCCCCAUCGGCCGCCCAGCCGGGGUCGGCGCCUCGGACCCCACCAGGCUGUGGCGUGUGUGCUGGCCGAUGCGGCGGCGAGGUUGGGUGUGGCCGGAAGCGCUCGGGGUCGACGGUGGGCCGCCAUGACACCUCAAUUGCCGUCAGUACGCCCCUCCACAAUCACCGUCCCCACACGAUGGGCCCGGCAGUUCACCCAACGUUGGUUCAGGCCCAGUCGGGUUUUUCCCCGGUACGAACGCACGUCCCCGUGGGCUCCACGCGUUUUCCACCCUUUCCUGGAGGGGUCCGGAACACCGUGAAUCCACGGGGAGGGUCCCGGCACGGGCCGAGGAGACCACGACCGUCCCACCCGGCGUGUCGACUCGUCCGAGACCCGGGAAGGGAACAGGCCCCACCUUUUUUUUCCCCUUCUCCGAUUUGCCGUGGAAAACCCGUGAACCGAUACGGGUGCAGACGGCCGAAAAAAUUCGAGACGGCAAUACGACGGCAGGGCGUGAUUUUCUCCCCCACCCGACAAAACCGUGUCCCUCAAAAUUCCCCACCUUUCUCUGUUCAAAUGGCCCCGAAACUGUAAAACACCGUUUGACCGCACCCCAACCGGCGCCAUCUUGGUGACCUUCUCGACGGUUCUCUCGCUCGUCAUGCCGUUCUGAGCUCCGACAUGGCGGACGAGAGAAAAUGGCGUCGAGAGCCGAGGAGCGUUUUCGCUCCAGGCGGGUAAAAAAAUAGCACGAUAACUUUUCUGUGCUUUUUUGAGACGUUUUAGAAGAGCUUUUUUUUCUGCUCAGAGCGAAAAAAUGAUAGCCCUGAAAAUCUCGACGAGUCUGGCCGAGCGGCGCCAUCUUGGAGGAGGGGCGAGUCGCGGGCACCGCCUCGGUACCCCCUGGCCGAGGCGAGUCCGCGAUCGCCGCCUGUUCCGUGAUGCUACCUAGAGGGCGCCGUCGAGGCGACUCUUCCUGUUUUCGCCCUGAGGGCUAACGGUCGCUGACGUCAAACCAUCUCGUGCUCGCUGAGUCACAUCCGGUUGUUGACAAGCGAUGGAGGACCGCACCCAAAGUGCGCCCUCUAGUCAUCGCGCCUGACCCCUUUUACAAACUGCUCGAAGAAAAGAACACCUUAUGUGAAAAAAUACAGAAUGAUGACAAGUUCAUCCAACACAACCGCUCAACAACGCCAUAUCUAUCAGUGUCCAAAAACUAUCUUCUAUCCUUUGAAACUAUAAAUGCUGCCUAUAUACAUAUUUAGUAUCCAAGACUCUUACCACGUAGACGAAAAGAAGUGAUACAAUGAUCUUGACGUGUAUCGUCUAUAUCGUGCUAGAUAUAUUCAGAUAAGACGCGCAAACCAUAGAUUUCUCAUCAGUAUCAUGAAAGACCUAUAGCUCUAUAUACGAACCUAGUCAUUUUAGGACAGCCGCCGGAGAAGCCGACGAGGGAUCGGGCGGGUGCAGCCAGAACCUCACGCCCGAUCCCGCCUCCGGUAGGCGAUUUGCAUCUGUUUGGUAAAAAGCUCAUAAGUCUGUAUGUGACCUAUAUAUAUAUUAUACGCUAUGUACACCGAACUGUCGCUGUUGUAUAAGAAGAAAAAACUCUCCAUAUUUAUAUCGUCUGAAUUUUUGCUUGAUAGACACGUGUUUGGAACUCUGUCCCCCCACGUUUUCACUGUGUAUAACAAAAAUAUGUGUUUCUCAAAAGAUCUUGAGGUGUUUGAAAACGGGGGAAACCUGCGUUUGGGUGCUCUAAGCCCCGGACUGGGACGUAGCCGGCGUCCGGCACCUAUAUUUUUCUAUUUUUUUUUACAAAAUAUAUGAUGAACCAAGAAUAAAACUCUAGCUCUCGUCUAUUUUUAAUAUGCUCUACUUAGAACCUUUUUAAUGACAGAAUGAACUCCAUGUUAUACGCUCUUUAUAUAGUUUCUCUGCACUAACCUUUAAAACCGUAUCCUUCCCUGUUGUACAAAUCAUCUUUUGAUACACAAUGAUGACCUGAUAUCCCUCCAUAUAUAUGAUCGGAUAUUAUUCCGUUAGACUUGUCCUCCUUUUUUUUCCUCAUCUCCUGUAUCUGGAGAUAUAUGUUGACCACCACCGCCAUGACCACCAAAAAGCUAGCCGUCACGACUAGAAAUGUGUAGGAUUCGGACUUUCCGUUCGAGAAGAGACCGCGUCUCUGGACGCUCUUUUUGUCGGUCUGAAUCGACCCGGGAUACGUAAGAGAGCGGCCCUACAUCGGGGGGCGCUCGAGACCGACGACGUUCCAUCUGACCAGAAAAAAAAAGGCACCCCUCGGUGGCGACCUCUCACCAUCGUUUGCCCGUCCGCCCGUCCUUCGUAGCCAUCAUCAUCUCAGGCUCUAUCGGUACCAUCGUUGUCAUCUGAAAAAAAAAAACUGCCUCACCCACCUGCGUAAAAACACCAUCUUUCCGGAGGUGCGGUAAGACGGGCAAAUACGGUCGUGCCGAGGCAAAAAAACGCACCAUCGACACCACACCCUCAUGAGCACCACCUGUCGGUGUUGGUCGUCCUCCAUCGUUCUCUACGAACAUCUCGACGCCCGGGUGACGGACGACGGCAAGACGUCCCGGAGAAGACGGUGUUCUCUCGGGCGGUACGCUCUCUGGAUCUAUAAUAUCUAUAGUAGCUAAACGAGACUGUGAGUACGACGAACCACAUCAUCUUUUUUUUAUGUUGCUUCUUUAGAAAAUGACUUAUGUCGACGACACUCGGCAUCAGCCAUCUCGUGAAACACGCUCGCUUUUCGUCUCUCCAAGGAACACUGGGUCCGCUGAAAGGGACCGUGUACCGACCAAAGCAAAAAACACACACGUAGUAACAUGAUCAACCACGUCUGAAUGACACGAAAACACAAUCGUAUAACGCUCUAUUCAUGGAACGAACUUGGAAUAAAAAAACCAUCGCAGGCCAGAGGCUAAGCCGAAACCGUCCGGGGAAGCGGGCGCGAGUUUUCCGACUUAGUCUCUGGUGCUCGUUGAGCCUCUUUUUUUUUUCCUGAUUCUCUGAAGAAUCACCGUCACAGCCCUAUGACGCGAAAUCAAUUGCUAGAACAUAAACGUUCUCAACAGGUAUGAAAUGAACAAACUAGAUGAUGCUAUAACCUUAUAUUGUGUGUAUAUAGAUAGGUGUGAAAUUUGUAGGAUAAAAAGUGUCGUUGUAUGAUGCACAACGAUCGUGAAACUGGAGACUGUAGCUCUCUACCGAAUGCAAAUACACAAAUGACAUCGAUUCCCGUCCCCACAUAAAGAAAUGUGCUUUACUGUGAAAGAAUGAAGAAGAUUCUUGUUCCUCGUACGACGGGGCCCUCGCUCGUCGUGCCUCUUCCCCCCUCCGGGAGAGGGGACGUCGGGGCCCUCCGUCGCAUCGGGCCAAAGCCAGUGAAAUGUUUACUACACUGUCAUCAGAAUAUAUGAUGUAUAUUAUUUCCUCCAAACUCCUCACCAUAGCCACCAAUUCGCAUCACUUAAGAAAGUAGUAGCAACCGCGGCGGCGGCGACCGGCCGGUCGUCGUCUCCUCGUCCUCAAAUGUUGUACAUGUGCAGAAAAAUGUGUAAAUACGUGUUAUUUAUCCCAUGCGUCUUGUACAUAGAUAUAUGUUUUUAUAUACGCUAUUUAUACUUUAUAUAUCCUUUUGCAUAACCAUAGACAGUCAAGGAUUUUAAUGAUUUGCUCAUCCGCCUUUGAGCCAUCGCUUAGGAGUUAGUUCCUCUAUGUUCUCGGCCCACCUUUUCGACUACAGUAGCAAACCCUUGUACUACCACCCCGAUAAAAACCACAUCAUCAUCGUCACCACGACCUGGAAACGACACACGUUCCCCCCCAAUCUUGGGCAUGUGUAUAUAUAUAAAAAGAAUGGGAGGGAGAGGACGUGGGGCUCGAGAAGAAAUAAACGCCAAGCUCGAUUCGAACC
Molecule: small RNA, 4841 nt
Filed under: Human betaherpesvirus 5
Lineage: Duplodnaviria; Heunggongvirae; Peploviricota; Herviviricetes; Herpesvirales; Orthoherpesviridae
Description: RNA4.9
Source: RNAcentral